This 417-nucleotide ribosomal RNA is filed under the name uncultured bacterium. Its description in RNAcentral is "bacterial SSU rRNA". It matches the Rfam family "Bacterial small subunit ribosomal RNA", at positions 355 to 776 of the family's 1533-position model. The record is from RNAcentral.
UGGGGAAUAUUGGACAAUGGGCGGAAGCCUGAUCCAGCAACGCCGCGUGAGGGAUGACGGCCUUCGGGUUGUAAACCUCUUUCAGCACCGACGAAGCGCCCGAUGGGUGGUGACGGUAGGUGCAGAAGAAGGACCGGCCAACUACGUGCCAGCAGCCGCGGUAAUACGUAGGGUCCGAGCGUUGUCCGGAAUUAUUGGGCGUAAAGGGCUCGUAGGCGGUUUGUCGCGUCGGGAGUGAAAACACCGGGCUUAACUCGGUGCUUGCUUUCGAUACGGGCAGACUAGAGGUAUGCAGGGGAGAACGGAAUUCCUGGUGUAGCGGUGAAAUGCGCAGAUAUCAGGAGGAACACCGGUGGCGAAGGCGGUUCUCUGGGCAUUACCUGACGCUGAGGAGCGAAAGUGUGGGGAGCGAACAGG